AUCCUUUUAGUAGUUCAUAAGCCUGAUGGUUGGGUUUUCAUGAGCAUGCGUGAGAUGGGACUCCCACAAAUCUCGUUACGACGUUGGCACCUUACCCACCUGGCA
Small nucleolar RNA from Otolemur garnettii (small-eared galago), 105 nucleotides. The record is from Ensembl. NCBI's taxonomy places the organism in Eukaryota, Metazoa, Chordata, Mammalia, Primates, Galagidae.